This 924-nucleotide ribosomal RNA is filed under the name uncultured ciliate. Its description in RNAcentral is "bacterial SSU rRNA". It matches the Rfam family "Eukaryotic small subunit ribosomal RNA", at positions 867 to 1828 of the family's 1831-position model. Lineage: Eukaryota; Ciliophora. The record is from RNAcentral.
GGUUAAUAGAAACAGUUGGGGGCAUUAGUAUCUAAUUGUCAGAGGUGAAAUUCUUGGAUUUAUUAGAGACUAACUAUGCGAAAAGCAUUUGCCAAGGAUGUUUUCAAUUGAUCAAGAACGAAAGUUAGGGGAUCAAAGACGAUCAGAUACCGUCCUAGGCUUAACUAUAAACGAUUCCGACUAUGGAUUGGGAGAGCUCUUUAACUCUCUCAGCACAUUAUGAGAAAUCAUAAGUCUUUGGGUUCCGGGGGAAGUAUGGACACAAGUCUGAAACUUAAAGGAAUUGACGGAAGGGCACCACCAGGAGUGGAGCCUGCGGCUUAAUUUGACUCAACACGGGGAAACUUACCAGGUCCAGACAUAAUUAGGAUUGACAGAUUGAGAGCUCUUUCUUGAUUCUAUGGGUGGUGGUGCAUGGCCGUUCUUAGUUGGUGGAGUGAUUUGUCUGGUUAAUUCCGUUAACGAACGAGACCUUAACCUGCUAAAUAGUCGCUCUCUAUAUUUAGGGAGUAGUCUUCUUAGAGGGACUUUACGUUAAAGCGUAAGGAAGUUUGAGGCAAUAACAGGUCUGUGAUGCCCUUAGAUGUCCUGGGCUGCACGCGUGCUACACUGACGCAUUCAACAAGUAUCUCCUGGCUCGGAAGUGUACGGGUAAUCUUUAUAAUAUGCGUCGUGCUAGGGAUUGAUCUUUGCAAUUUUGGAUCAUGAACGAGGAAUUCCUUGUAAGCAUAUGUCAUCAGCAUGUGCUGAAUACGUCCCUGCCCUUUGUACACACCGCCCGUCGCUUCUACCGAUCGAGUGCUCAGGUGAACCUUUUGGACAAUACUUGUCUGUUGACUUGCGUUGGAAUUUAAGUAAAUCUUAACACUUAGAGGAAGAAAAAGUCGUAACAAGGUUUCCGUAGGUGAACCUGCAGAAGGAUCA